CCUACGGGUGGCAGCAGUGAGGAAUAUUGGUCAAUGGACGAGAGUCUGAACCAGCCAAGUAGCGUGAAGGAUGAAUGUCCUAUGGGUUGUAAACCUCUUUUAUAAAGGAAUAAAACGAGGCACGUGUGCCUGUUUGCAUGUACUUGAUGAAUAAGGAUCGGCUAACUCCGUGCCAGCAGCCGCGGUAAUACGGAGGAUCCGAGCGUUAUCCGGAUUUAUUGGGUUUAAAGGGUGCGUAGGUGGGUUGUUAAGUCAGUUGUGAAAGUUUGCGGGUCAACCGUAAAAUUGCAAUUGAUACUGGCGGUCUUGAGUACAGUAGAGGUAGGCGGAAUGCGUGGUGUAGCGGUGAAAUGCUUAGAUAUCACGAAGAACCCCGAUUGCGAAGGCAGCAUACUAAACUGCGACUGACGUUGAGGCACGAAAGCGUGGGGAGCGAACAGGAUUAGAUACCCGUGUAGUC
Molecule: ribosomal RNA, 460 nt
Filed under: uncultured bacterium
Lineage: Bacteria
Description: partial 16S ribosomal RNA
Rfam family: Bacterial small subunit ribosomal RNA
Source: RNAcentral